GCCCUCCGCCUCCUCCGCAUCGCCGCGUCUCCCCUCCGCGCCUUCUCCGCCCUCCGCCUCCUCCGCAUCGCCGCGCCUCCCCUCCGCGCCGAUCCGGUCUCCGCCCUCCGCCUCCUCCGCAUCGCCGUCAUCUGCCGGUCGGAGCCGCGCGCGAUCGACGCGCCUCCUCUGCAUCGCCGCGAGUGCGCGUCAGGCGCCUCCCCGCCGCAUCGCCGUGCCUCCUCCGCAUCCCUCCCCUACGCGCAUCCUCCACCCUGGUCCCUCGCCUCCGCCUGCGAGGAGGAACGCUUCGCCGGGCGCCUCUCCUCGGUAUAUGCACCUUUUGCAGAGUAUUUUAAAGACAAAUGGUGUAGCUCGCCAGGGACUGCAUUUGCGUCACUCGUCCGCGCCGCCAUAACUGCAUCGACAAGCCUCGCCGAUCUGCGACGCCAUAACUGCAUCGACAAGCCUCGCCGAUCUGCGACGCCAUAACUGCAUCGACAAGCCUCGCCGAUCUGCAUCGACGCACUGCCACCGCAUCCACCUCGAGCGUCAACGCCGCCAAGAGGUAAAAUCCCCUCGACAAGCUGCUUCAGCGACCGGUAUCCUCGGUCUCCGCCUCAACCGCCGCCGCCGCCACCACCGGAUCCCUGCAUCGUCGAUUCUACUGCACACCUGCGAGCAUAGCAGUGGAUGUGAGGGUGUCGUGGUCCUGCUACAACCCUAACAAGUGAAACUAGCCGUUGGAGUGCUUCUUUAAGUAGACAAGGCAUAAUGGAGAAUAUGGGUGAGACAUUAAUUUGUUUUUUCUCAAAUUUGCUAACUGACUAAGAUGGAAUACUGGAUAACAUAAUCAUCCCGUGUGAAUAUCUCCAAAGAACUGGAUAAGGGCUCAUUCAGAUGUAUAUGUCAUUGGUUGUUCAACACAUUAAUUAUGCAUUGAUGACUGAUUGGUGAUGAUUGUACCUUAUGCGCAUCACGCUGACAAGUAACUUGAGAUGUUUAUAUUUGCAUGGGAGACAACUUGUGUAUGUCAUAUCUUUGUUUGACCCUGCACACGAUUUCAUAAUCGCUUUAUUGUACUGGGCAUUUUCGCCAUAAUACAUGCUUAAAACAUUGCAAUGUAUGGUUAUGGCACUAUUAUAAAAGCCAUGAUUAACCACUAAUGUAAAAAUACGUAUAUUAGGUGUUGACGCAACGAACCCACAAACUGAAGAGCGUAUUGCAUUCCGGGAUAUCACCAACAGAUUGGAUGUAUUGCAAACGACACCUAUAACACCUUCUGAUGAGGUAUUACGUAAGCGGGAAGCACAUAACCGAAGCCAACGUGAAUACCGUGCAAGGAAAAAGGCUGCAGCAAAUACCCCGUGUUCUGCAACACUGCGGCAACCAACUACUGCUUCUCUUUCUAAGGAAUUUGAAAUUGUCAAUGCCCAGCUGGCUGAAGCUACCAAUGAUGCCAGAGAGGAAAGGAACCGUAAGCAACGUGAAUAUCGCCAAAAGAAGAAGGUUGGGUCAACUAAUCUUGAUGGUAGUGUGACCUCUUUAACACCAGUACAACCAGCAAAUGAGGAAAGGAACAGAAAGCAACGCGAAUACCGUGCGAGGAAGAAGGCCAAGUCAGACAUUGUUAGGGGAUCAAAUUCCCAAUCAACCGAUCAUAUUGCAACAAGCGUACUAU
Oryza sativa Japonica Group (Japanese rice) is the source of this 1660-nucleotide non-coding RNA. NCBI's taxonomy places the organism in Eukaryota, Viridiplantae, Streptophyta, Magnoliopsida, Poales, Poaceae. The record is from RefSeq and is a predicted model, not a curated record.